UACGGGGGGAGCAAGCGUUGUUCGGAUUUACUGGGCGUAAAGGGCGCGUAGGCGGCCAGUGCAAGUCAGUUGUGAAAUCUCCGAGCUUAACUCGGAAAGGUCAACUGAUACUGCUCGGCUAGAGUGCGGAAGGGGCAACUGGAAUUCUUGGUGUAGCGGUGAAAUGCGUAGAUAUCAAGAGGAACACCUGCGGCGAAGGCGGCAUCCUGGACCGGCAUUGACGCUGAGGCGCGAAAGCCAGGGGAGCAAACGGG
RNAcentral lists this ribosomal RNA (254 nucleotides) under uncultured bacterium. RNAcentral describes it as "partial 16S ribosomal RNA". It matches the Rfam family "Bacterial small subunit ribosomal RNA", at positions 524 to 776 of the family's 1533-position model. The record is from RNAcentral.